Long non-coding RNA from Wasmannia auropunctata (little fire ant), 488 nucleotides. RefSeq lists it as uncharacterized. The record is from RefSeq and is a predicted model, not a curated record. The transcript is spliced from 3 exons. Lineage: Eukaryota; Metazoa; Arthropoda; Insecta; Hymenoptera; Formicidae.
ACCUACGUACAUGUAUGACUCGAAUAAAAAAUCUGCCUUCUCUCUCCUAAUACACUCGAUCACAAAAGCGUGACGCUGAUUUAAUCGAGAUGAAUCGCUUACAGGAAUCCUGCCUGCAAAAGCAGGUCACAUAUAUCAUCGAGACAACCUUCCAAUGUCCGUUCAGAAGUCCAUACGCGAUGGAAAGAAAUAGAAAGUGAAUCGUCGGUGACUCGUCCUAUUUCGCACGAGGGGUCAUCUUUUACGUGACCAAAUAUUUGGAUGACAGAAACGAAAUGACGUUUGAGAAGAGCCUGACAUUUGCUUUAAGUUAAUGCGCACAGGAUCCGCUCGCAAUAAAACACGCGAUUGUUGCUGCGAAUGAAACUUUACAGGAUAAUUUAGUAUUUGAACAUCGAACAUCCGACAACAAGGCGAAUGUAUAAUGGAGGCAAGAUACGUCGAUUAAAGAAGCAUCCAACGGAAGCGAGAUCGAUUUUACAAAAAUA